RNAcentral lists this ribosomal RNA (393 nucleotides) under uncultured bacterium. Its description in RNAcentral is "partial 16S ribosomal RNA". It matches the Rfam family "Bacterial small subunit ribosomal RNA", at positions 523 to 918 of the family's 1533-position model. The record is from RNAcentral.
AUACGGAGGAUGCGAGCGUUAUCCGGAUUUAUUGGGUUUAAAGGGAGCGUAGGCGGGAGCUUAAGUCAGCGGUUAAAUGGUGCGGCUCAACCGUGCCCUGCCGUUGAAACUGGGUUUCUUGAGAGUGCAAGAGGCGGAUGGGAUUCAUGGUGUAGCGGUGAAAUGCUUAGAUAUCACGAAGAACUCCGAUCGCGAAGGCAGCCUUCCGGCCCGUCAACGACGCUCAUGCUCGAAGGUGCGGGUAUCAAACAGGAUUAGAUACCCUGGUAGUCCGCACAGUAAACGAUGGACACCCGCGGUUUGGCCUGUAUGGCUGAGCCGCCAAGCGAAAGCGUUAAGUGUCCCACCUGGGGAGUACGCCGGCAACGGUGAAACUUAAAGGAAUUGACGGGG